RNAcentral lists this unclassified non-coding RNA (1875 nucleotides) under Hevea brasiliensis (rubber tree). Lineage: Eukaryota; Viridiplantae; Streptophyta; Magnoliopsida; Malpighiales; Euphorbiaceae. The record is from RNAcentral.
UUCAAAUAUCUCAUGAUUUUUACAUUUUAUUGGAUAAGAAUUACUAACAGAUUUUUUAUGGAUAAAUCCGAAUGUGAAAUGAUGAAAUUCAAGAAGUCAUCUCAUUACACAAAUUGAUCUCCCUGCGACCACUAAGUGCUAUAAAUUUAUCUAUAAACAACAACAAAGGACAUUUAUCAGUUAAAUGUGAAUCAUUAUAGGCUUCCUUGAGGAACACAGUACUCCUAACACCUUUGUUGGUAAUAUAAAAUAUGCCAUGAUGCUUUAUCAAACAAAGCAGUAAUCUAGAUGGCAACAAAUACUCAGAAUGAAAUGCAUCCAAUUGUAUAGAAGUCAACCUCCUUUCCAUAGUUAAGCUAAGAAGUUCAUGAAGCACUGCCACCACACGCUUUCGUGCCUUUGGAUCAGCAGCUUCAAAUCUCCUAGCAUUCAAGUAUGGAGAAGGGAAUUCCAUUCUCUGCCACCUCUCAAGUUCAUCAAGGUAACUCACAUUUGCCCUAAAACCAGUAGGGAAGCAAAUUUUAAACGCAAAUGGACCAAAGAAAUUACCAUCCUUUGAUAUUCUAACCUUCUUCUUGGGCGGAUUGGAGGGAAGAACUCCUUCACAUGUUAAUCUUUCCUCACGGGCAGUGACUGCUAAUGAAGAAUCCCAGUUCUCCAAAUGAAGAUAAGCUUUCCCAUUGACAUCUUUCACCGAAAAAAAUUCUGGGUACUUUGGAAUCAAUGACUUCUUGAAAUCGCUGGGCAAACCUAAUUCAUUCUCAAUGAAUUCAAUCUUUUCUAGUGGCACCCUACAAUCAACUGACAUCAUUAACAACUUCCUCAAGUUCUUAACUAGAACGGGUUCCAUUAACUCCCUAGAUUCAGCUUCCCCACAGGCAACCUUCCUAGCCUUCUCAGUGAGUGUAACAGAAGGAGGCAUGCUACUGCCAGCAUCAACAUGGAAUAUUGAAGGAUACUUUUCAAUGACAGCCAUAAAGUUCCAUUUCUGGACAAACCCAACUUGUUUCUCAAGGUCUCGGAGGAGGAGAUGUUGGUUCUUUUGUGAUUGAAUAAUGGCUUUAAGGUGUAAGAUAACAGAUGGCUUCUUCUGUAAGUCCAUGACUCGAUCAAGUUCAUGGACUCUGUGGUAUAUCUUCUUUUUGGGUCUUCUUCCUCCGCUUGAUUUUUGCUUCAGUGGAACCAACAUUGCGCUUGAUUUUUGAAAUGGGAAUGGGAAUAAGCAGACAUCUUUUUUUGUGUAAAAGAAAGGAUUUUAAAGAUGGAUGUAAGCAAGAAAAGAUGGAUGCUCUAUGCAUGUUGGAGGAGAAACAAAACAGGUUCCGUAGAGAAAAAAAAUCAAACAGUUGGAGUGCAAUAUGGUGAUGCCUUCAGAUAGAAACAGAAAUAAUUGCAUCGAGUAAAACAAAUAUUAAGAAUUUCCAUAGCCGAGCAGGAGGCUGAUUUCAGUACAUAGCAGUAGAAAUUGAAGAUCCAGACCAAAAAAUAUACCAAUCAGAGGGAGGCAGCAGAAGCGAAGAGUGGACUAGGUUGCAUGAGGACUCCGACCACCAUAAGAUGCACACACUAGUCCUUUGCCAAUUGAUACAUAUUUGACAGCAAAGACAGACCAGAAUCUGUCACACUGAACUGCUACAGGGGUGAAUUUGCAACCAGCUCCUAGUAAUCAUACGUUAAACUUGCAGAAGAAUGAAAGUCCCUUAGUCUUCUGGGGGUGUGCUAGUUUUUUUUCUUUUUUUUAUCCUUUUUCAAAAGAGCUAACAAUGCAAUUCUCCACGCAAAGAAAUAGCAGACAAAUGCAGUGGCUAUGCUCCUGAACAGAAUGAUUUUGCACAGCAGAUGUUCGCCAAAAGAAACAGCGAGAGAGAGAGAGAG